GCAUGACAGACAAGAUGUCUCAGGCUUGCGCCAUUCUUGGAGUUGUGUGUUUCUGCUGUAAGUAGGAGAGACACCGGAAGUAAACUACAAGAAUAAUAUUGGCAUAAAAGAAAACACUGGGGAGUCCGGCUCAUUACCAUUGGUCGGGCCUAUAGAAUGUCGAUUUCCAGGCUCGAUUACAUAAGUGUGUUAACUCUGCUCACGCUCUAUACUUUCAUUGUUAAGUUGAUGAUAAUGGCUCGUAUGUCGGCAUCCGCGCGUGGGGCUUGUUGCGGGUUACUUCAUUGGCCACAUGCGGCUACGUGUGUACAUCGUUCACGGGCUCUGCGGCCACAUGGUUGUUUGAAGGGCAGUUGAGCCGGUUGUGCGGAGGCCCGUUCAGCUGGUUGUGCGGUCCCAUUCAGCCCGUCGGGCUCCAGCUUGCCGUGCGGGCGCCCGUUCGGCCGAUGGGUCUCCUAGCCGGCUGUCUAAAGAGCCGCUCAUACAAAUGUUUAUCCCUUUUUAUGCACCUUUUUGAUUGUGUGGUAGUUUUUUUUUAUUAUGGUGAUCUCUCAUUGAAAAUAUCAAGUAGUGUUCUCCGAAGUGUAGGGUCUUCUAUAACAGGUAUCUUUUCAGGGUACGACAUGUACACAUAAGUAGGAACGAUCACUAGGGUGUAAAGCGGGUAAAGGUCAGACCUCAUGGACAAAUAAAAACAAGGUAUGAACAUAAUUAUUCACUCUAAACCAUUUUUGUAGGCUGAACAAUUUGUUGCUUUGCGAUUACGACCUGAUCUCUUUUGCGCCGGUUUCCAAAGAGACUAAGGCGGUUCGUUCAUUUAAUUUUCAUUUUAUGUUUCAAAUAGUUCAUUCAACUUCUAAAUUGUAGUUGGUCAGUUGGUCCCUUAAAAUAGUUCACUUGACUUCCCUUUUAUUUCCCUUUUAUAUUUCAUAUAGCGAAGGAAGUUGUGGGGUCUCUGGGUCAUCUACUUACUGUAAAUCACUGCUCAAGAAAUCUUUCGAUUCA
This 1005-nucleotide long non-coding RNA is filed under the name Triticum aestivum (bread wheat). RNAcentral describes it as "long non-coding RNA (TAES_LNC027337)". Lineage: Eukaryota; Viridiplantae; Streptophyta; Magnoliopsida; Poales; Poaceae. The record is from RNAcentral.